Molecule: ribosomal RNA, 1028 nt
Filed under: Heyndrickxia oleronia
Lineage: Bacteria; Bacillati; Bacillota; Bacilli; Caryophanales; Bacillaceae
Description: bacterial SSU rRNA
Rfam family: Bacterial small subunit ribosomal RNA
Source: RNAcentral
GGCAAUUGGCGGGGUGCUAUACAUGCAAGUCGAGCGAAUCUGAUGGGAGCUUGCUCCCUGAUGAUUAGCGGCGGACGGGUGAGUAACACGUGGGUAACCUGCCUGUAAGACUGGGAUAACUCCGGGAAACCGGGGCUAAUACCGGAUAACUUUUUUCUUCGCAUGAAGGAGAAUUGAAAGAUGGCUUCGGCUAUCACUUACAGAUGGACCCGCGGCGCAUUAACUAGUUGGUGAGGUAACGGCUCACCAAGGCGACGAUGCGUAGCCGACUUGAGAGGGUGAUCGGCCACACUGGGACUGAAACACGGCCCAAACUCCUACGGGAGGCAGCAGUAGGGAAUCUUCCGCAAUGGACGAAAGUCUGACGGAACAACGCCGCGUGAGUGAUGAAGGUUUUCGGAUCGUAAAACUCUGUUGUUAGGGAAGAACAAGUAUCGUUCGAAUAGGGCGGUACCUUGACGGUACCUAACCAGAAAGCCACGGCUAACUACGUGCCAGCAGCCGCGGUAAUACGUAAGUGGCAAGCGUUGUCCGGAAUUAUUGGGCGUAAAGCGCGCGCAGGCGGUUUCUUAAGUCUGAUGUGAAAUCUUGCGGCUCAACCGCAAGCGGCCAUUGGAAACUGGGAGACUUGAGUGCAGAAGAAGAGAGUGGAAUUCCACGUGUAGCGGUGAAAUGCGUAGAGAUGUGGAGGAAACCAGUGGCGAAGGCGACUCUCUGGUCUGUAACUGACGCUGAAGCGCGAAAGCGUGGGGGAGCGAAAAGAAUAGAUACCCUGGUAGUCCACCGCCGUAAACGAUGAGUGCUAAGUGUUAGAGGGUUUCCGCCCUUUAGUGCUGCAGCUAACGCAUAAGCACUCCCGGCUGGGGAGUACGGCCGCCAGCUGAAACUCAAGGAAUGACGGGGCCGCACAAGCGGUGGAGCAUGUAUAAUCGAAGCAACGCGAGACUACAGUCUGACAUCUCUGGACUCCUAGAGAUAGGAAUUCCCUCGGGACAGAGUGACAGGUGGUGCAUGGAUGUCGUUCAGCU